RNAcentral lists this ribosomal RNA (1221 nucleotides) under Abbottina rivularis (Chinese false gudgeon). RNAcentral's name for it is "partial 16S ribosomal RNA". It matches the Rfam family "Bacterial large subunit ribosomal RNA", at positions 700 to 2561 of the family's 2925-position model. The record is from RNAcentral. Lineage: Eukaryota; Metazoa; Chordata; Actinopteri; Cypriniformes; Gobionidae.
CUUUAGUUUGAAACCCCGAAACCAGGUGAGCUACCCCGAGACAGCCUAUGUAAACAGGGCUAACCCGUCUCUGUGGCAAAAGAGUGGGAAGAUCUCCGGGUAGAGGUGACAAGCCUACCGAACCUGGUGAUAGCUGGUUGCCUAAGAAAUGAAUAGAAGUUCAGCCUCAUGUUCCCUCAGACCAAAACCCAAAAUUAAAGGUUGCACUAGGAGAAAUACACGAGAGUUAGUUAAAGGGGGUACAGCCCCUUUAACAAAGGACACAACCUUAACAGAAGGAUAAAGAUCAUAAUAAUUAAGACAGGCUGUUUAGGUGGGCCUAAAAGCAGCCAUCCAAACAGAAAGCGUUAAAGCUCAAACAGCACAAAGUUUAUUAUACCGAUAAAAGAUCUUACUCCCCUAAUAGUUAUUAGGCUAAUCCAUACUAUUAUGGAAGAAAUUAUGCUAAAAUGAGUAACAAGAGGACCUGCUCUUCUCCAAGCACAAGUGUAAGCCAGAUCGGACAAACCACUGGAGAAUAACGAACCCAACCAAAGAGGGCACUGUGUACAACAUAAAAACCAAGAAAACCCCACAACCAAAUAUCGUUAAUCCUACACUGGGGUGCUAUUUUAAAGGAAAGACUAAAAGAGAGGGAAGGAACUCGGCAAACACAAGCCUCGCCUGUUUACCAAAAACAUCGCCUCCUGCAACUAAAUUAAGUAUAGGAGGUCCAGCCUGCCCAGUGACUAUAAGUUCAACGGCCGCGGUAUUUUGACCGUGCAAAGGUAGCGCAAUCACUUGUCUUUUAAAUGAAGACCUGUAUGAAUGGCCAAACGAGGGCUUAACUGUCUCCCCCCUCCAGUCAGUGAAAUUGAUCUAUCCGUGCAGAAGCGGGUAUAAUUAUACAAGACGAGAAGACCCUUUGGAGCUUAAGGUACAAAAAUUAACCACGUCAAGCAACUUCAUAAAAGGAGAAAACCUAGUGGGACAUAAAGUUUUACCUUCGGUUGGGGCGACCACGGAGGAAAGACCAGCCUCCGAGUGGAAUGGGCUACAUCCCUAAAACCAAGAGAGACAUCUCUAAGGCGCAGAACAUCUGACCAGAAAUGAUCCGGCCUUAGGGCCGAUCAACGAACCAAGUUACCCUAGGGAUAACAGCGCAAUCCUCUCCCAGAGUUCAUAUCGACGAGGGGGUUUACGACCUCGAUGUUGGAUCAGGACAUCCUAAUGGUGCAGCCG